CAACUUUCAACAAUGGAUCUCUUGGCUCUGGCAUCGAUGAAGAACGCAGCGAAAUGCGAUAAGUAGUGUGAAUUGCAGAAUUCAGUGAAUCAUCGAAUCUUUGAACGCACAUUGCGCCCCUUGGUAUUCCGGGGGGCAUGCCUGUUCGAGCGUCAUCU
Molecule: ribosomal RNA, 158 nt
Filed under: Pseudopithomyces chartarum
Lineage: Eukaryota; Fungi; Ascomycota; Dothideomycetes; Pleosporales; Didymosphaeriaceae
Also listed under: 1 other name
Description: 5.8S ribosomal RNA
Rfam family: 5.8S ribosomal RNA
About the family: 5.8S ribosomal RNA (5.8S rRNA) is a component of the large subunit of the eukaryotic ribosome. It is transcribed by RNA polymerase I as part of the 45S precursor that also contains 18S and 28S rRNA. Functionally, it is thought that 5.8S rRNA may be involved in ribosome translocation.
Source: RNAcentral